AUUGAACGCUGGCGGAAUGCUUUACACAUGCAAGUCUAACGGCAGCACGGACUUCGGUCUGGUGGCGAGUGGCGAACGGGUGAGUAAUGUAUCGGAACGUGCCCAGUCGUGGGGGAUAACGUAGUGAAAAUUACGCUAAUACCGCAUACGAUCUAUGGAUGAAAGCGGGGGAUCGCAAGACCUCGCGCGAUUGGAGCGGCCGAUAUCAGAUUAGGUAGUUGGUGGGGUAAAGGCCCACCAAGCCAACGAUCUGUAGCUGGUCUGAGAGGACGACCAGCCCCACGAGAACUGAGAGACGGUCCAGACUCCUACGGGAGGCAGCAGUGGGGAAUUUUGGACAAUGGGCGAAAGCCUGAUCCAGCCAUUCCACGUGCAGGAUGAAGGCCCUCGGGUUGUAAACUGCUUUUGUACAGAACGAAAAGGUUUCUACUAAUACUAGGAGCUCAUGACGGUACUGUAAGAAUAAGCACCGGCUAACUACGUGCCAGCCGCCGCAGUAA
Molecule: ribosomal RNA, 500 nt
Filed under: uncultured bacterium
Lineage: Bacteria
Description: partial 16S ribosomal RNA
Rfam family: Bacterial small subunit ribosomal RNA
Source: RNAcentral